This 253-nucleotide ribosomal RNA is filed under the name uncultured bacterium. RNAcentral describes it as "partial 16S ribosomal RNA". It matches the Rfam family "Bacterial small subunit ribosomal RNA", at positions 524 to 776 of the family's 1533-position model. The record is from RNAcentral.
GACAGAGGGUGCAAACGUUGUUCGGAAUUACUGGGCGUAAAGCGUAUGCAGGCGGACUUUUAAGUCGGGGGUGAAAUCCCGAGGCUCAACCUCGGAACUGCCUUCGAUACUGGAAGUCUUGAGUCCGGGAGAGGUGAGUGGAACUGCGAGUGUAGAGGUGAAAUUCGUAGAUAUUCGCAAGAACACCAGUGGCGAAGGCGGCUCACUGGCCCGGUACUGACGCUGAGGUGCGAAAGCGUGGGGAGCAAACAGG